GUGUGUGUGUGUGUGUGUGUGUGUGUGUGUGUGUGUGUGUGUGUGAAGGUGUUCGUAUGGGUGGCAGGGGGAGUACUGCAAUCAGUGUAUCCCAUACCCCGGCUGUGUGCAUGGUACCUGUGAGGAACCGUGGCAGUGUCUCUGCGACACCAACUGGGGAGGACUGCUCUGUGACAAAGCUUCCGGUGUGACCACUGCCUCUACCCCUGGUCAGAGUCUUGUCGCUUGGUGGUGCUCACUGAUGCUGUGGAUGGAUCUGUGUGGACAGCCUGACCCAGGAGACAGCCAUGGACAGAGCCACUUGGGGACUUUCACACCAUCACAGAUCUGCCAUUACAUCUGUCAGCUUGAGACAGCAAGGAAUUAGUGUCUUUAAUGACCUCAGAAACUACAGUGACCUAAUAGUUCCUCAUGAGCCAUUUAUUGCUGUUGUAAAAAGGACAUUAAUCAGCUACAGUUACAUUAUUUACUGUCCAGUGUCACCCAAAUGAGGAUGGGUUCCCUUCUGAGCCUAGUUCUUCUCAAGGUUUCUUCCUUAUAUCAUCUCAGGGAGUUUUUCCUUGCCACCGUCACCACAGGCUUGCUCAUUUGGCAUAAAAUAAAAUAGGGAUAAAAUAGUUUAAUAAUUUAAUUUAAUAAUUUUUUAUUUUUUAAUUAUAUAAAAAAUAUAUCUAUCAUUCAGUGGUGUGCUGUCAGGGCCAGCAAGGCCUUCUCUGCUGGCCUAAACAGCAGUGAUCCGAAUCACUGACUUGCAUUUUAAUAUAAUUAAAAUAUUUUUCCAUGAA
Long non-coding RNA from Hemibagrus wyckioides, 785 nucleotides. RefSeq lists it as uncharacterized. Lineage: Eukaryota; Metazoa; Chordata; Actinopteri; Siluriformes; Bagridae. The record is from RefSeq and is a predicted model, not a curated record. The transcript has 2 exons.